AACGAACGCUGGCGGCAGGCUUAACACAUGCAAGUCGAGCGCCCCGCCAGGGGGGCGUCAGACGGGUGAGUAACGCGUGGGAACGUACCUUUUGGUUCGUAACAACUCCGGGAAACUGGAGCUAAUACCUGAUAAGCCCUAACGGGGAAAGAUUUAUCGCCGAAAGAUCGGCCCGCGUCUGAUUAGCUAGUUGGUGAGGUAACGGCUCACCAAGGCGACGAUCAGUAGCUGGUCUGAGAGGAUGAUCAGCCACACUGGGACUGAGACACGGCCCAGAAUCCUACGGGAGGCAGCAGUGGGGAAUAUUGGACAAUGGGCGCAAGCCUGAUACAGCCAUGCCGCGUGAGUGAUGAAGGCCUUAGGGUUGUAAAGCUCUUUUGUCCGGGAAGAUAAUGACUGUACCGGAAGAAUAAGCCACGGCUAACUUCGUG
Molecule: ribosomal RNA, 431 nt
Filed under: uncultured bacterium
Lineage: Bacteria
Description: partial 16S ribosomal RNA
Rfam family: Bacterial small subunit ribosomal RNA
Source: RNAcentral